AUUGAACGCUGGCGGCAGGCUUAACACAUGCAAGUCGAGCGGGGUGAUGGUGCUUGCACUAUCACUUAGCGGCGGACGGGUGAGUAAUGCUUAGGAAUCUGCCUAUUAGUGGGGGACAACAUCGCGAAAGGGAUGCUAAUACCGCAUACGUCCUACGGGAGAAAGCAGGGGAUCACUUGUGACCUUGCGCUAAUAGAUGAGCCUAAGUCGGAUUAGCUAGUUGGUGGGGUAAAGGCCUACCAAGGCGACGAUCUGUAGCGGGUCUGAGAGGAUGAUCCGCCACACUGGGACUGAGACACGGCCCAGACUCCUACGGGAGGCAGCAGUUGGGAAUAUUGGACAAUGGUGGGAACCCUGAUCCAGCCAUGCCGCGUGUGUGAAGAAGGCCUUAUGGUUGUAAAGCACUUUAAGCGAGGAGGAGGCUCUUUUGGUUAAUACCCAGAAUGAGUGGACGUUACUCGCAGAAUAAGCACCGGCUAACUCUGUGCCAGCAGCCGCAGUAA
RNAcentral lists this ribosomal RNA (503 nucleotides) under uncultured bacterium. Its description in RNAcentral is "partial 16S ribosomal RNA". It matches the Rfam family "Bacterial small subunit ribosomal RNA", at positions 30 to 523 of the family's 1533-position model. The record is from RNAcentral.